This is a long non-coding RNA of Oncorhynchus tshawytscha (Chinook salmon), 1686 nucleotides long. The record is from Ensembl. NCBI's taxonomy places the organism in Eukaryota, Metazoa, Chordata, Actinopteri, Salmoniformes, Salmonidae.
GGACGGCUCAUAAUGUCAGGAGUGGAAGGGUUGUAAAACCACAGGAGGCUGUUGGGGAGGACGGCUCAUAAUGUCAGGAGUGGAAGGGUUGUAAAACAGAAGGGAACUAUGUGUUUGAUACCAGUCACUUCACCACAUUCCUCCCAUCACUAUGAGCCCUUCCUCCCCAAUUAAUAAGGUGCCCCCAGUCGCAUGUGGUGUGGUACAAAAUACUAUAUGUACCGUGUUAGUGGUGUUAUAUAAAUACUAUAUGUACCGUGGCUGUGUAAUUAGUGAAUCAUUUGGAUAUACUGUAUGUAGUAGAAAAUACUAAUAGUACCGUGUUAGUGGUGAUAUAUAAAUACUAUAUGUACAAAUAAUUAAAAAAAAUAAUUGUAAGGAUAAUUAUCAGCUUUGGCUAGAAGAGCCACACUAAUGUCGGGAUUCAAUCCCAUGGUGCUUUGUCAACAACGCACCAUUUAAACCUUUCCGAUUGAACCAACAUGCAGCGAGGAAUGUGGUCUCCCCGACAGGUGCGGACUUUGCCUAUGAAUGACGUUAAUGGCGUUGUUGACGAAGCGCAGUCAGAUUGAAUCGGGGACUAACAGUGAUCUGGUUUAGUACAGGUGGACUUUAAUUAAAGGGGCAAUGCAGGAUUCAAAAGAACAACAAAGUGUUCUCCGUUAUCAUCCAAUCCCAGAUCAGGAUUAUUUAUUUAUUAGUUAUCAUUCGCUAAGAAGUCAAAAAACAGAUGUGGUCCGACCAAUCCCAGAUCAGGAUUAUUUACAUACAUAGUUUGUGAGGCACUAAUAUGGAUUUACAUAUUCCAUUACCAGGCACUUUUUAUCCACAUCAACUUUCAGUCAGUCAGUCAUUUUUACAUAUGGGGAGGCCCCAGGAAUCAAACCCACAAUCCUGGUGUUGUAAAUGCUCUACCAACUGAACCACAGAGGACAGGCUCUACCAACUGAGUCCACAGAGGACAGGUUCUACCAACUGAGCGACAGAGGACAGGCUCUACCAACUGAGCCACAGAGGACAGGCUCUACCAACUGAGUUACAGAGGACAGGUUCUACCAACUGAGCCACAGAGGACAGGUUCUACCAACUGAGUCACAGAGGACAGGUUCUACCAACUGAGCGACAGAGGACAGGCUCUACCAACUGAACCACAGAGGACAGGUUCUACCAACUGAGUCACAGAUGACAGGUUCUACCAACUGAGUUACAGAGGACAGGUUCUACCAACUGAACCACAGAGGACAGGUUCUACCAACUGAGUCACAGAGGACAGGUUCUACCAACUGAGUUACAGAGGACAGGCUCUACCAACUGAACCACAGAGGACAGGCUCUACCAACUGAGCCACAGAGGACAGGUUCUACCAACUGAGUCACAGAGGACAGGUUCUACCAACUGAGUUACAGAGGACAGGUUCUACCAACUGAGUCCACAGAGGACAGGUUCUACCAUAGAACUACAUUUUUAGAUAUGCUAAUAUCUCCUCUCACUUUUUCUUUCCCUCCCUCCAACUGUCUCCCCCUCUUUUUCUCUCCCUCUCUCCCACACCUCUCUCGGUCUCUUUCUCUCCCACUAUCCUCCCCUUUCUCUCUCCCUCUCUCCCACACCUCUCUCAGUCUCUUUCUCUCCCACUAUCCCCCCCUCUCUCCCCUCUCCCUCUCUCCCACACCUCUCUCGGUCUCUUUC